Molecule: ribosomal RNA, 1434 nt
Filed under: Bacillus pumilus
Lineage: Bacteria; Bacillati; Bacillota; Bacilli; Caryophanales; Bacillaceae
Description: 16S ribosomal RNA
Rfam family: Bacterial small subunit ribosomal RNA
Source: RNAcentral
AUACAUGCAGUCGAGCGAACAGAAGGGAGCUUGCUCCCGGAUGUUAGCGGCGGACGGGUGAGUAACACGUGGGUAACCUGCCUGUAAGACUGGGAUAACUCCGGGAAACCGGAGCUAAUACCGGAUAGUUCCUUGAACCGCAUGGGUCAAGGAUGAAAGACGGUUUCGGCUGUCACUUACAGAUGGACCCGCGGCGCAUUAUCUAGUUGGUGGGGUAAUGGCUCACCAAGGCGACGAUGCGUAGCCGACCUGAGAGGGUGAUCGGCCACACUGGGACUGAGACACGGCCCACACUCCUACGGGAGGCAGCAGUAGGGAAUCUUCCGCAAUGGACGAAAGUCUGACGGAGCAACGCCGCGUGAGUGAUGAAGGUUUUCGGAUCGUAAAGCUCUGUUGUUAGGGAAGAACAAGUGCGAGAGUAACUGCUCGCACCUUGACGGUACCUAACCAGAAAGCCACGGCUAACUACGUGCCAGCAGCCGCGGUAAUACGUAGGUGGCAAGCGUUGUCCGGAAUUAUUGGGCGUAAAGGGCUCGCAGGCGGUUUCUUAAGUCUGAUGUGAAAACCCCCGGCUCAACCGGGGAGGGUCAUUGGAAACUGGGAAACUUGAGUGCAGAAGAGGAGAGUGGAAUUCCACGUGUAGCGGUGAAAUGCGUAGAGAUGUGGAGGAACACCAGUGGCGAAGGCGACUCUCUGGUCUGUAACUGACGCUGAGGAGCGAAAGCGUGGGGAGCGAACAGGAUUAUAUACCCUGGUAGUCCACGCCGUAAACGAUGAGUGCUAAGUGUUAGGGGGUUUCCGCCCCUUAGUGCUGCAGCUAACGCAUUAAGCACUCCGCCUGGGGAGUACGGUCGCAAGACUGAAACUCAAAGGAAUUGACGGGGGCCCGCCCAAGCGGUGGAGCAUGUGGUUUAAUUGGAAGCAACGGGAAGAACCUUACCAGGUCUUGACAUCCUUUGACAACCCUAGAGAUAGGGCUUUCCCUUCGGGGACAGAGUGACCGGUGGUGCAUGGUUGUUGUCAGCUCGUGUCGUGAGAUGUUGGGUUAAGUCCCGCAACGAGCGCAACCCUUGAUUUUAGUUGCCAGCAUUUAGUUGGGCACUUUAAGGUGACUGCCGGUGACCAACCGGAGGAAGGUGGGGAUGACGUCAAAUCCUCCUGCCCCUUAUGACCUGGGCUACCCCCGUGGUUCAAUGGACAGAACCAAGGGGUGCAAGACCGCAAGGUUUAGCCAAUCCCAUAAAUCUGUUCUCAGUUCGGAUCGCAGUCUGCAACUUGACUGCCUGAAGCCGGAAUCGCUAUGUAAUCGCGGAUCAGCCUGCCGCGGUGAAUACGUUCCCGGGCCUUGUACACACCGCCCGUCACACGCCGAGAGUGUGCAACCCCCGAAGUCGGUGAGGUAACCUUUAGGAGCCAGCCGCCGAAGGUGGGACC